This 403-nucleotide ribosomal RNA is filed under the name uncultured prokaryote. Its description in RNAcentral is "bacterial SSU rRNA". It matches the Rfam family "Bacterial small subunit ribosomal RNA", at positions 355 to 774 of the family's 1533-position model. The record is from RNAcentral.
UGGGGGAUAUUGCACAAUGGGGGAAACCCUGAUGCAGCAACGCCGCGUGAAGGAAGAAGGUCUUCGGAUUGUAAACUUUUGUCUUGCGGGACGAAUAAUGACGGUACCGCAGGAGGAAGCCACGGCUAACUACGUGCCAGCAGCCGCGGUACUACGUAGGUGGCGAGUGUUGUCCGGAAUUACUGGGUGUAAAGGGUGCGUAGGCGGAUUUGCAAGUCAGGUGUGAAAACUAUCGGCUUAACCGGUAGCCUGCACUUGAAACUGUGAGUCUGGAGUGGGGAAGAGGUAAGCGGAAUUCCUAGUGUAGCGGUGAAAUGCGUAGAUAUUAGGAGGAACACCAGUGGCGAAGGCGGCUUACUGGGCAGUAACUGACGCUGAGGCACGAAAGCAUGGGGAGCAAACA